Molecule: ribosomal RNA, 494 nt
Filed under: uncultured bacterium
Lineage: Bacteria
Description: partial 16S ribosomal RNA
Rfam family: Bacterial small subunit ribosomal RNA
Source: RNAcentral
GACGAACGCUGGCGGCGCGCUUAACACAUGCAAGUCGAACGGAAAGGCCUGCUUUCCCUUGUGGAUUGCGGGUACUCGAGUGGCGAACGGGUGAGUAACACGUGAGUGAUCUGCCCCCAACUUGGGUAUAAGCCUGGGAAACUGGGUCUAAUUCCCGAUAGGACUGCAGGGUGGUGCCUGUGGUGGAAAACGAUUUUCUAGUGGUUGGGGAUGAGCUCGCGGCCUAUCAGCUUGUUGGUGGGGUAAUGGCCUACCAAGGCGGCGACGGGUAGCCGGCCUGGGAGAGUGGACGGGCACAUUGGGACUGAGAUACGGCCCAGACUCCUACGGGAGGCAGCAGUGGGGAAGAUUGCGCAAUGGGCGGAAGCCUGAUGCAGCGACGCCGCGUGGGGGAUGACGGCCUUCGGGUUGUAAACUCCUUUCGACCGCGAGGAAGCCACCUGGUUGGAAGGGUGGUGACGGUAGUGGUAGAAGAAGCACCGGCUAACUACGUG